This 867-nucleotide long non-coding RNA is filed under the name Trifolium pratense (red clover). RNAcentral's name for it is "long non-coding RNA (TPRA_LNC010365)". The record is from RNAcentral. Lineage: Eukaryota; Viridiplantae; Streptophyta; Magnoliopsida; Fabales; Fabaceae.
AAAAAUCAAUUUAUUGAAUUCACAAAAAAAAUCAAUUUAUUGGUCCAUCUAUUUCAAUUUUUAUGACUUUUGGUCACCAACAAAAUUUUGGCUCAAUUUUAAUGACGUGGUAGAGUCACUUAUCAGAAAUGUGAUCAUGUAUAUAAAACUGCUACAAAUGAAUUAUUUUUUUGUAUGAACAUUGGAAAUAUACGGUGGAUGGUGAGAUAAAUGAGGAAAGGUAAUUCACAAUUACCCUAACAACAAGAAAAAUUUCAAAUCUUUCUUUCAAGAGCUAAUAAAAGAAGGCAAAAGAACUAGAACUUACAGCAAAAGAAUGAUCACACUAAUACCCGUUAUAAGGAAUCAAUCGUUAGUUGGUAUAAUGAUUAUUUGUGCUAUAUUUGGUAGGAAGGAUCAUGAUUUGAUCCCCUGCAACUGCGAUCAGAAGAAGUUUGAAACCACUUGAUGUAAGAACCGAUCCAGAACCAGAUUAUGAUAGAACAAAGAGUGAAUAAUAUGUAAAAUAGAGAAACAAGUAAUUGUAUUAAUGACUAGUUGAACAAUUACAAUUAUGAAUGGAAAAUGUAUGAAAGCAACAAGCAAAGAUAACUGUAGAAUUGAUAAGAAUUAUCAAUUCUCCCAAAGCACAAAGGCCCCUAUUCACGUAUUGUGAAUGCAAGUUUAACAGAAUGAUAAGAUACCCUUUCUCUCUCCACCCAACCAACUAUAAGUAGUGCUCAAUAUUAGCGCAACUCAUGCAUCUCAUGCACGCUUUCAAUCCACGUCAUCCUUUAUUAUUCUUCUUGAAAUGCUUCCUUUCAUACACUCUCCACACUUUGGGCUUAGGACCAAAGUCAAGGCCCACUUGAUCCACACUUCCAUCAG